UGCGGGGUCGUCUAAUGGCAGGACUCUGGCCUUUGAAGCCAGCUAUCUAGGUUCAAAUCCUAGCCCCGCAG
This 71-nucleotide transfer RNA is filed under the name Chloroflexota bacterium. RNAcentral's name for it is "Chloroflexi bacterium tRNA-Gln". It matches the Rfam family "tRNA". From Rfam's summary of the family: Transfer RNA (tRNA) molecules are approximately 80 nucleotides in length. Their secondary structure includes four short double-helical elements and three loops (D, anti-codon, and T loops). Lineage: Bacteria; Bacillati; Chloroflexota. RNAcentral also lists the same sequence under 2 other names. The record is from RNAcentral.